CGGGGCAGCCAGGCGACCGCGCGCCACGCAAGUGGCUCGAGGAACGUCCGGGCUCCACAGGGCAGGGUGGUGGGUAACGCCCACUCGGGGUAACCCGCAGGCCAGUGCCACAGAAAACAGACCGCCGUGCUCCGCGUUUACGCGGAACACAGGUAAGGGUGAAACGGUGGUGUAAGAGACCACCAGCUUCCCGGGUGACCGGGAAGGCUAGGUAAACCCCACCCGGAGCAAGGCCAGACAGGACACGUUCGAGGGCUGCCCGCCCGAGUGUCCGGGUAGGCCGCUGGAGGGCGCCGGCAACGGCGUCCGUAGAUGGAUGGUCGCCUCUUCCCGGCCGGCAACGGCCCGGAAUGACAGAACCCGGCGUAUCGGCUGCCCCGUCCC
This is a non-coding RNA of Arthrobacter cupressi, 384 nucleotides long. It matches the Rfam family "Bacterial RNase P class A". From Rfam's summary of the family: Ribonuclease P (RNase P) is a ubiquitous endoribonuclease, found in archaea, bacteria and eukarya as well as chloroplasts and mitochondria. NCBI's taxonomy places the organism in Bacteria, Bacillati, Actinomycetota, Actinomycetes, Micrococcales, Micrococcaceae. The record is from Rfam.